AAUUUCUCAACCUUUCCAGCUUUUAUUAGCUUGGUCAGGCUUGGAUGUGGGGGUUGCAGGCUUUAUUUAUGAGGUCUGCUCUCCUAAAAUGCAUUAGCGGAACUUUUGUCGACCGUCUAUUGGUGUGAUAGUUAUCUACACCGUGGAUGUAAAGCAGUUUUUAUAAAGUUCAGCUUCUAACUGUCCAUUAACUUGGACAAUUUUGACA
RNAcentral lists this unclassified non-coding RNA (208 nucleotides) under uncultured Laccaria. RNAcentral's name for it is "sequence contains ITS2". The record is from RNAcentral. Lineage: Eukaryota; Fungi; Basidiomycota; Agaricomycetes; Agaricales; Tricholomataceae.